This 1143-nucleotide long non-coding RNA is filed under the name Papio anubis (olive baboon). RNAcentral's name for it is "lncRNA (ENSPANG00000049190.1)". Lineage: Eukaryota; Metazoa; Chordata; Mammalia; Primates; Cercopithecidae. The record is from RNAcentral.
AUGCCCCGCACUCCGCCCGCUCCUGCGACCCCCCAGCCCCGCUCAGGCCCGAGCGCCCGCAGUCGUCGCGCCGCCGCGCCAACCAUGCAGGUGAGUGAGAGGGACCCCCACGCCCCCACCCGCGGGGAGUCCGGCCCUGCCCUUCCCGGCUCCGCGCCCUUCGCCUCCUGCCCCUCCCGACGCGGUCCCUCGCCCGGGACAAGGCCUCCAGCCUCCCAGCGCCCCUUCCCCGAAGGGCUCUCCAUCCCUCUGCGGUCCUGGCUCGCUCCCGCCCUCCCUGGCGCAGCGGUCCCCGUCCCCGCGGCUGCCUCCAUCCAGCCUCGGCUCGGCGGGCGGCUCCGCGCAGUCUCCUGCCUCGGGUCCCUAGUCCGCUCUCGGCGCUCCCUGCCUCGGAGUCCCUUCGCCGACCUCCUUUUCUUCGUCUCCCCCGACUCUUGCCACUCUCCAGCCCUGUGCGGAGAGUGCGGGCCUGCGGGAUGGGUGGGAUGGGGGCCACGCUGGGGCUGGGGGCCGGCUCCCGCACCCCGAGGCUCCCGCCCCACCCCCAGCUCGUCUCCUGCGCACAACAGGUCGGUGAGGAGCUGGGAGAGGGGUGGGGGUGGCGCGCCAGCCCGGGGACUGCGGGCUUCCUGGAGGGGGCGGCUGAAGCUGUGCGGGGCCCAGGGGCUGGGUUGGCGCUGGUUGGGGGGGAUGCACAGGCCGAGCGGCGAUAGUCUUGGAGUCAGCUGGCCACAGAUGCGCCUGGGAGCCCUUCUCCGCUUCACUGGUUCGCUCUACACGCCUCGCUCCCUCCCUCUAGCUUUCUUCCCUUCCCCUCUCUCCCUUCUUCCCACCAUGCCCCUAUCCCUAUGUCUUUCCGUAUCUCCAUAUCCCUUUACAUUUGGGGGAGCAAUUCCCAACUCCUCCAUCUUUGCUGCUCCCGCCUCGUUUCCCAGCCCCUUCCUCAUGUCAUUUUUUCUUCAGCAUUUAUGUUCUCUCCUUUCCCACUUCCUUUCUCCCCAUCCUGGGCUCUUCCCCCUUUUUUCCCAUUCCCUUACGCUCCACUCCUCUGGCUGUCCUGCCUGGACCGCUCUCUCCUUCUCCUCCUGCCCCUUCUUCCCCUGCACCUGUGAACCCUUCAUCCUCUCCGUUUCCCCUCCCUGA